AGUGAGGAUUUUAACUUUCCUGAGUCUUCAGCUGAGGUCUGAAAUGUUUCCCAUAAGCCAAAGAGGACAACACAGUGUUUUCCUUGCCUGACUCAGUCCUGUAAGGCAGCUGCUACGUUGCUGAUGUGAUGUGAGCUACUGGUUCCCUGCAGGAAGUCCCUCUGCUUUUGUAGAGCACGUGUUUUUCUCUUCCCUUCCUGAGGGCUGAAGGCAAGACAGCAGAAGAGCUGCCUUUGUGUACCAAACCCAGGCUUGCAGUGAGAAGACUUUUAAAGAUGAAGCAACGUAAAAUUUAAUUGUCC
Non-coding RNA from Lonchura striata (white-rumped munia), 302 nucleotides. The record is from RefSeq and is a predicted model, not a curated record. NCBI's taxonomy places the organism in Eukaryota, Metazoa, Chordata, Aves, Passeriformes, Estrildidae.